This 777-nucleotide ribosomal RNA is filed under the name uncultured bacterium. RNAcentral describes it as "bacterial SSU rRNA". It matches the Rfam family "Bacterial small subunit ribosomal RNA", at positions 33 to 789 of the family's 1533-position model. The record is from RNAcentral.
ACGCUGGCGGCGUGCUACACAUGCAGUCGUACGAGAAAAUCCGCUUCGGCGGGUGAGUAGAGUGGCGCACGGGUGCGUAACGCGUGGAUAAUCUGCCUUUAAGCCGGGAAUAACCCAUCGAAAGGUGGGCUAAUACCCGAUAAUGCUAUGGAGCUUCGGUUUUAUAGCCAAAGAGAGCCUCUGCUUGCAAGCCCUCACUUAGAGAUGAGUCCGCGUACCAUUAGCUAGUUGGCAGGGUAAUGGCCUACCAAGGCGACGAUGGUUAGCUGGUCUGAGAGGAUGAUCAGCCACACUGGAACUGAGACACGGUCCAGACUCCUACGGGAGGCAGCAGUGAGGAAUAUUGCGCAAUGGGGGCAACCCUGACGCAGCAACGCCGCGUGAGUGAGGAAGGUUUUCGGAUCGUAAAGCUCUGUCGGGUGGGAAGAAGUGUAUGGAGGUUAAUAGCCUUUGUACUUGACGGUACCGCCAAAGGAAGCACCGGCUAACUCCGUGCCAGCAGCCGCGGUAAUACGGGGGGUGCAAGCGUUGUUCGGAAUCAUUGGGCGUAAAGAGCGUGUAGGCGGCUAGGCAAGUCAGAUGUGAAAUCCCUGGGCUUAACCCAGGACGUGCAUUUGAAACUGUUUGGCUUGAGUAAGGAAGAGGGAAGUGGAAUUCCUGGUGUAGAGGUGAAAUUCGUAGAUAUCAGGAGGAACACCGGUGGCGUAAGCGACUUCCUGGUCCUAUACUGACGCUGAGACGCGAGAGCGUGGGGAGCAAACAGGAUUAGAUACCCUG